ACUAUUUUGGCAGAUUAGUGUAAUAAAUUUAGAAUUUAUUUAAGUAUAAUAAAGUUUAUACAUAUAGUA
Molecule: transfer RNA, 69 nt
Filed under: Orientabia sinica
Lineage: Eukaryota; Metazoa; Arthropoda; Insecta; Hymenoptera; Cimbicidae
Description: tRNA-Leu
Source: RNAcentral